GAAAUAAUCAGGAAGCUUGGUAAUGAAAUUUAUGAAGGACCUAUCACCUCGGAAGAGAACUGCACAGAUGGGAAAUUUUUUACUAAAACAGCAGAAUGAAAAGGGAGCAGAGAAAAUCUCCCAGGAAUUUUGAUCUUACAGAUGCCUACUUACAUAUGACCUGAGAGGGGGAAAAAAAGCAUCCACCAUAGCAGCGACAGUUAUGGUGUGAGGCAGCCAAAGCCCAAGAAAUUCCAUCUUUCCUUCUUCCCUCGAGAAUCCUGAGUCCAAAUAAAACAUCUUGCUUCAAGAAGCAAAAUAACACUGCUGCCUGUGUGCUAUUGCUAUGGCAACCCAGAAGGGCCUGCAAGCCGGGUGUAGAGGACAGCGAAGCUCUGAGUGGAACGUGGCCUCGGAAUUGCUUUUCCAGUGCCUGUAAAGGAUGUAAAGCCCUGUGUCUCCAUCAUGGAGUAAGUGACAUGCCGUCAUUCUUCGCUGUCUUAGAGGGCAGAGCACAGAAAGUUGGGGGUCACUUAGCAGGGGUGUUGUCUGAUUUAUUGUACAAACUCUGAAAUUUCUGGCCCAUACUUGUUUCAUUAGGCAUAAACUCAAACUGAAUACAGUGCAUAACUUGUCCAUAUAUCUUUAAACCUGGGUAUUAAUUUCCCUGUUGACAAUAUAUUCAGUCCACAAUGAGAUACAGACUCAGCAUUAGAAUGUGAAGGCAAAAAAACAGAUGAAAAGAAAGGUCUAAUUUUACUUCCCUGAGAUGUAUGCCAUUUGGAAGUCUUAGAGAUGGUCCUAGAACCAGGAUUCCCUCAAAAGAGAGCCUGAAGCUAAAGCUCAUAUUUUGGAAAUGUGUUUGGUGAUACAAUACUAGAGGCAGAAAUACAGGACAAUAGAAUAACAACAGAGAAGAAACAACAAAUAAAGGAAAGCAUUGACCUUUUAUGAGGCUUCCCCCAGUGGUUGUUAUCGUGGCUUGUAACUUCAUGUUUCCCAGAGCCUCAUGUUCUUAUAGGUGGGACUUUCCAGGAAUGGGUUUAACUAGGGUG
This 1034-nucleotide long non-coding RNA is filed under the name Fukomys damarensis (Damara mole-rat). Its description in RNAcentral is "lncRNA (ENSFDAG00000021751.1)". Lineage: Eukaryota; Metazoa; Chordata; Mammalia; Rodentia; Bathyergidae. The record is from RNAcentral.